AACGAACGCUGGCGGCAGGCUUAACACAUGCAAGUCGAACGCCACCUUCGGGUGGAGUGGCAGACGGGUGAGUAACGCGUGGAAACAUACCUUUUGCUUCGGAAUAUUCCCGGGAAACUGGGAGCAAUACCGAAUGUGCCCUGAGGGGGAAAGAUUUAUCGGCAAAAGAUUGGUCCGCGUUAGAUUAGGUAGUUGGUAGGGUAAGGGCCUACCAAGCCUACGAUCUAUAGCUGGUCUGAGAGGAUGAUCAGCACAUUGGGACUGAGACACGGCCCAAACUCCUACGGGAGGCAGCAGUGGGGAAUAUUGGACAAUGGGCGCAAGCCUGAUCCAGCCAUGCCGCGUGAAUGAAGAAGGCCUUAGGGUUGUAAAAUUCUUUCACCGGGGACGAUAAUGACGGUACCCGGAGAAGAAGCCCCGGCUAACUUCGUGCCAGCCGCCGCCGUAA
Molecule: ribosomal RNA, 448 nt
Filed under: uncultured bacterium
Lineage: Bacteria
Description: partial 16S ribosomal RNA
Rfam family: Bacterial small subunit ribosomal RNA
Source: RNAcentral